Cinara cedri is the source of this 811-nucleotide non-coding RNA. The record is from the annotation of a GenBank genome assembly. NCBI's taxonomy places the organism in Eukaryota, Metazoa, Arthropoda, Insecta, Hemiptera, Aphididae.
GUGUGGAGCGCACCGCUAAAUAUAUAAUAAUAAUAAUAAAUAUGAAACAUAACAUAAACAUGCAGUACACAUGAUAUUGAAGAUUAAGGGUAGGUUAGGUCAAAGACAUUACACAUACUUGCCCCUUACAUUAUUUAGUUACUUAAGUUCAUUUAAGUGGUGCAUUAUCCGUACAUAAUUGGUGCUUUGGUCUUUCUCUUGGGUCUUUCCUCUAUUUCAUUCCUAUUGAGCUCCAAUUUAUUUAUUUCAACCUCAUCGGAAUUUACAACUGUGUCAUUAUAUUCGUUACUUCCUCUGUCACUUCUUUUUCAAUUAGAUUUACCAUCGUUUUGUUACUUUGUGAAUAAAUAAUGUGAUUAACUCAGAACUUCAUAUAUUACACAUCUAAUCCACCCUUUUUUAUUUGGUCUAUAAUAAUCCUUUGCAUAAACCUUAUCGUUAAUAUUGAAUAUUUUCUUAAUUAAGUCGCCCCUUUAAUUUUUAUUUUGACUUAAGCUUGCAUUCAAUUGUGUAUUAUCUUUGACAGCUAUAUCUGGUUCUUAUGUUUUGAAAGGUCUUACUGAAUUCUCAGUUGCACUAUUGCUCGCGGAAUGAUACAGCGGAAUUGUAAAAUGUUUAAUAUUAUGUAAAUACCUCGAAAAUCAUUAUCCACUUACUAUAAACAUCUGUAAUAAUUAGAUACAUUUUCUUUUUAAUAGGACCUGCAUAAUCCAAUUGUAUAAUGUCUAAUCUAAUUGGGUGUCAACAUUAAGACAUUGGGUCAAUAAUUAUUUUUAAUCACAUAAUGCAAUUAUGUUACAUUGCAUAUAAU